This 2857-nucleotide long non-coding RNA is filed under the name Oryza brachyantha (malo sina). Its description in RNAcentral is "long non-coding RNA (OBRA_LNC002503)". The record is from RNAcentral. Lineage: Eukaryota; Viridiplantae; Streptophyta; Magnoliopsida; Poales; Poaceae.
CCAUCAACUGUUGCCCAUGGACAUCGUAUAUAAGAAAAGAGCAAUACUACUACAGCUAAUGUGCCAUUUUUAGAUGAGAUCUAUUGCCUCGAGGAUAUAAAUAUCCCAUCAUACCAUACCUCCAUAUAAAAGAACAAAACAAUGUACAUAAGGUCUGUAAGAUGUAAAACUCUAAACAUUGCUAAGAUUGACUAAGUGAGAAUUUACAAUACAAACAGAUAAUGUCAGCAGAAUAGUACAAGUAAACAUAACAUUUCAUACAACUACAAGUGCAUCGAGCUAUCACCUGAUAAUUGUGAUUCACUACUCUUUGCAUCUACUUCAAGUGUCUGAAGGAAGCUCUGGCAUCGAAUGGAGCAUCUUCUGCUAUGCAUAUGCAGAAGAAGGUACAUCAAAUUCCUGAAAAAAGAAAUAAGAAAAAGAACUGAGGGAACAUUUUAAGGGAAUGAUAGUUUGAGUAUUAUUUACUACAUCAUAGAGUUUGAUCAAAAGGGUUGUCGAAUUAUCUCAGAAAAGCAUGGAAACUACAAAAGGGAUUGCAACAAAACUGUAAUGUUAAAUACCAUGGCAAAUGCUAGAUUAAGGUGGCAAAUUAUAAAGGUCAACUAGAUUAGAUUAAUCAAAGAAUGCAUGUACGUAUCCAAAAUUCAGAUGAAAGGUCACCAGUGACCUAAAACAUUCUUUAAAAUAAAAGGUCACCUAAAACUAAAUGUAAGUGUAAAAAGCUUGAGGGUAAUUUGGAAUAUAAAAUUACAAGACGGAAAAAUGGGCUUGAUAUUGAUUAAAAUUAUGAGACCAGAGAUGUUACGUAGUAGCUAGGUGCAUGUGUAUUAAAUUUAAAUGAUAGACAUAAAAAUAAUGACCUAAGAUGAUAUGAGUGGACUACUUAACAAAUUGUAAAGAUAAUCAUGCAUAGAAAAAUAUAGAUAAUUUACCAAAAUGUAUAAUAAUUAUAAAUUAAGGGGCUCACACAAUAAAGAAAACAAGUAGCUGUGUUAUACGUUAAGGAUAUGUUUGUUAUUCCACCCGUAUAUACCCAGAUCACGUAACAUACAGUUUGAUUUUAGCUAUCAACAAAUUACUUCACAUUAUCCCGUGAAAUAUAAUGUUAGCCAUUAAUUAGUUAUAUAAGGAUAUCCUCAAUUACAAGUGUACUACUUAAAGGAAUAGCAAUGCGAAUGUGUGGGCUGCACAGCUAGAAAUUACGACAUUCAUAAGACAAAACAAGAGAUAUCUACACCAUCAUGGUGGUAUCAUAUUAUAAUGGUAUAGAUUAAGAGAAGAUAUAUAAAUUGCUUUAGAAGAAUUACCAUUCUCGUUUUUAUCUAGACAAGAACAAGAUGCGCUGCAUUUUGAUAACCAAAAUGGCAAUACCUACAACUGUACAUUAAAAAGACUCUGAUGUGCUUUAGAAAUGUUUCCUUGCUUGUAGAAGUCGUUCUAGGGACCAUGCAUGACGUAAAUUGCAAACCAUGCCAAGUAAAGGAGCUUGAGACGACCUAGCAGGAAAUACAAACCAAAAAAAUUUACCAAGGUCCAAACAAAAUAAUCAACAAAUACAUGAGCAUCUCUAAGUGACAAAGGCAAGGAGGGGAGUAAGAUGCCGACGGCUAGCGGGACUUUUAGAAAACUAUAAAAUAGAACCUGGUGAUCAUAGAAGGGCAACACAUAAUACAAGAUAGAAUAUGCUAUAUUUAGUAGGUGGAAGAAUAUCAUCUGAGACAGUGAAAAGAUGCAACUAAUAGUCUAAAGAUAAACAUAGAUGGAAGAAGAGAAACAAAUACACCAUAAAAUUUAUAUAUCUUUAAUUUGUUGUAAUGUUAGAUACUUACUAAAGGAUCCAUCGUGUUAGCUUUAUGGGCAUGAAUUACUAUAUUAAUUGGUAUUAGUUUGGUCAAGUUACACUAGAGUUUAAAAUUAUAUUGUCAUUUUAAAUAUAUUUCAUAAAAAAUGUGAAAGUAUAAUUGCUAUUAUCUGAGAAAUUUUAGAGCGAUGCUAUUGCGUAAUCUGCACAGGCUACCAUACUAGUUUUACUAAUAGAGUGGCCUUUGUACAUACGAUUGAACAUGAUACCUUCACAUUGCAAAGCUGCCCAGGUAAACACAAAACCACCAAAUGUUAAAUUCCUAACUUUGGUCGUUUAGCUGAGCAGUAGUUUAUCCAUCUAACAGAAGAAUCAGAUAUAUGAUCAUUAUCUUUACUUCUCUUUUGUUGUUUUAUUUUUUCUGACCAACAAAGAAAUGCUCACCUAAUUAUAAAAAAAACAGCACGAAACAACUCAAAAGCUCCAAAAGAAAUAGCAUUUAUCCGCCAGGUUGCCACCGUGCGUAAUCUGACAACACAUAUUCUUCAAACCAAAGAGACAACAGGUAAGCACAAUCUUCAGGGAGUACAACCAAUCCAGGAUGUUUCCCUGGACCACCUACCAGACAGAAUCACAAGAAGGGCAAGGCUGCAGCCCGCAGGCAUCCUCUCACACUUGGGUAAUUUUGUUGCAAAUGCGGCGCGACAAAAUAAAUUGCUAGAGGAAUCAUGUUCGACAUCCAUGGACUGCCAAGUUCGUCCUCGUGUCGCUUCUCCUACAAUCACCCACCCAAAAUUGUUCGUUCCCAAUUCCGCCCAGAAUGAAAACUGAAACGUGUCUACGUCAGGAGGGGGAACACGACGCUAGGGCAAAUCAUUAGCCCCAUUUCCACCGGAAAUGAAGUGAUGUGUGGGAUUGGUACGCACCGAGGGGGUGUCGUGGUGGAUGAGCGGCGGGUGGGCUAUGACGCGACGGGCUUGGAGUGGUGGAGGAAGGCCGCGGAGCAGAGCACGGUGGUGACGACGGCGAAGAGGCCGAGCGCCACCACCANNN